RNAcentral lists this microRNA precursor (102 nucleotides) under Marmota monax (woodchuck). Lineage: Eukaryota; Metazoa; Chordata; Mammalia; Rodentia; Sciuridae. The record is from RNAcentral.
AUAUGAAUCACUUGGUGGAUGUUAUUAAAAUGCAGAAUCUGAUUUAGUCGGUCUGGGAUGGAGCCUGAGAUUCUGUAUUUCUGAGAUUCCUAUGCUGCUGAU